This 89-nucleotide microRNA precursor is filed under the name Canis lupus familiaris (dog). RNAcentral describes it as "mir-8799 microRNA precursor family". It matches the Rfam family "mir-8799 microRNA precursor family". The record is from Rfam by way of RNAcentral. Lineage: Eukaryota; Metazoa; Chordata; Mammalia; Carnivora; Canidae. RNAcentral also lists the same sequence under 1 other name.
GGGGGUAGGCCGGAUCCUGGGCUGUGUCCCGGCGCCCUGUGCUCCGGAGCCUGCACUGCUGGUUUCGUGCUCUGGCUGCGCAGUCCCCU